This is a non-coding RNA of Paramuricea clavata, 747 nucleotides long. NCBI's taxonomy places the organism in Eukaryota, Metazoa, Cnidaria, Anthozoa, Malacalcyonacea, Plexauridae. The record is from the annotation of a GenBank genome assembly.
CUCCUUAUGGGUUUGGUGAGAAGCGGAUUGGCUCAACGAUGUGGAGGUCCUUAUUGGUGGCAAUGCACCAAGGUAUCUUUGUUUUACAUUUUUUGACAUACACAGAGCCAAGAUCUCACUUGCGCUUGCACUCAGUUGAUCUUGCUACCUCAAAAAUUUUAAGAUUUGUUUAUGACAAAAAGGAUUUGUUUAUGCUUUAUAUAGGUCAAAUUAAACGUAUUUGCGCCAAUAUAAUAUGACAACUUGUCAAUGGAAAUCUCGGGUGUAAAUUUUGUACAUUUUUGGAUCUAACCAGGUGCAUCUGCGAAAAAUGAAUCACCUUAGUAGUACAUACACGAACUUGCGGUUAGAGGUAGACGACUGCCUCUGUAGCUCAGUUGGUUAGAGCGUUGCAUUGGAAUCGCAUAGCUAUUUUACUCCUGGUUAGGUGUAAAAUUAGUAAAAAUAUAUAAAAUGUACACUCGAGAAACUCCUUCAACAUUUCCCAUAUAAUGUUCAUUGUACACAUAAGACAACCCGUUCAAAAAAAGGAUACACGACACAAGAAAUUCAAUAUCUAUCUAACAAUUGUAUUGUUCGGUAUCAAAUUUCAGAUGCGAUACUCCUUGAUGCGAAGACAACCAGAACAACUUGGGGCGAAACAAAAAGUAUUGUUGAGAAGAGCAAUUCAAAGAAUAAAUAACUUUCCUUUAUUUAAAAAAUUUAGCAUUUACAAUGUUUAUAAAUUUAAAUGAAAGUCUUUACAAA